UUAACUAGCUGGAACGAGGAUGAGCGCUGAGAGAACCUGAGAUGUGCGGCAACCUGGCUUGGAUCGAGCUCCAGCUUUCCCUCCUCUGGGCUCGCAGGCUCUCGCAGAACAAAUCUCUCCCAGAGCUGUGUCACCUCUGUGAGCAGAGCCUGGAGCGGUCUGGCCUGCUCACGGCUGAUCCGAGUGCCCCUCCAUCUGCUCUUCCUCCAGAAAUAAGGCAAGGGUUUUCUCAGAAAUCUGUCGCUGGAAAUCUGGUAGCAGGCUUGCUUAAUGCAGCAAGGGAUUUAAUUAGGUUUUCCCAGAGAGAGGAGAGGAAGGGAAACGGCGAGCAGCUGCUGGCAUCUCCGUCUGCAGCCUCCCUCGCUGCCCCUCCCUCCUCAUCGCUGGGGACGGAAAAGCUGUGCUUGUGGCUUGGUGCAUCUGCAGAACGCGGUGCCAACAAAUGCGACCUGUCUCUCCUGCUUCGUUGCCUCUCUCCUCUCCUCCUCUCGGAACGGAGCGGUCCUGCUCCGGCGGGGCAGCUCUCUUGUGUCCAAGCGAAAUGGCCGAGCCCAGAUUAUGGUAACGCGAGCGGGUUCGAACCACCCGCUUCCGUGGAGCACAAACGGGCUCCUCAGCUGGAAGAUGAGCGCGGUGCACGACGUGCGGACCGAGGCGCGGGAGCGGCCCAGCCGGCGGACGGUGGACCAGCUGAGCCCGGAGCUCCGCGUGGAGAAGUACAUCCUGCUGAGCAUGGACGGGAAGCUGCUGGGCCCGGAGCUGAGCCGGAUCCGGAGCGGUAGGGCGCGAGGUGCUUGGAGGAGGGAGGAUUGCCCCUGGAAAUGGGGAUGGACCCCGCUAACGUCCCGCUGGUUCUUGCUGGCCYGUGCUGGGGAGGGUGAUGAGGGCAGAGGGCCCUCUCCACCCAGCCUGGGGGAGCUGCCGGCCCCUGGGCUCGGCUGUCUCCAGGGGGCUCUGAUCCCACCUGGAUUUGAGAUGAAUUAUGGCUGGUCUCUGCACCCCAAAAUCCAGCUGCUGGGGCUCUGCUGCCCUGGGGAUGCCCAAAGGCGUCUGUGGAGCAGAAAGGGGCUCCCCGCUCCCAAAGCUCGACGCCGAGACGUAGCACAGGGCGCGGGGGUGGGGGCUCACGGUGCCUUUGUCCCCCCGCCCCAGAGAUGGCCCUGCCCCUGGAGCGCCUGGAUGCUGACCUGCCCCAGGACCUGCCCCCCGGCUACCUCUGGCGCCAGCGCCGCUCCCUGCCGACCUUCCCCCUCGCCCCCGGGAGCGGCGCCCAGACCCCCGCGGACCUCAGGUACGUGCUGCCCCGUGCCGGGGCCGCAGCCUGCGCCCGCCGCCCGCUCGGGGCGCUGACCCGUCCCCCUCUUCCAGGAGGAGCUCGGACUUGCUCUGCGCCGGCCAGUUCCCCACGGGGCUCAGCGACCUGGUGACGGGGAUGCAGGCCCCUGCCUCGCCGUGUGCCAGGAGCCGUGGCAGCCYGCGGGCUCGGCCCCGCUCCGCCCUGGCAGCCCAGGCUUCGGAGGCCGYGGGCCAGGGCUGCCGGGAGCGGACGGCCCCGGGGCGGGAAGGUGGCCAGGAGUGAGGGGAGCCGGGACCCCAGCCAGCUCCCCCCGCCCGGAGUAGGGGCGGCGCUGGCAGCACAGCGGGGCUGUAACGGGAGGAUGGUGCGAAAUAAAGACCCUGGAUGUAACCCCA
Molecule: long non-coding RNA, 1692 nt
Organism: Dromaius novaehollandiae (emu)
Lineage: Eukaryota; Metazoa; Chordata; Aves; Casuariiformes; Dromaiidae
Source: Ensembl